RNAcentral lists this ribosomal RNA (253 nucleotides) under uncultured bacterium. RNAcentral's name for it is "partial 16S ribosomal RNA". It matches the Rfam family "Bacterial small subunit ribosomal RNA", at positions 524 to 776 of the family's 1533-position model. The record is from RNAcentral.
UACAGAGGGUGCAAGCGUUGUUCGGAAUCAUUGGGCGUAAAGGGCGCGUAGGCGGGCUGGCAAGUCCGUGGUGAAAUCCUCCGGCUCAACCGGAGAACGGCCUCGGAUACUGGCGGCCUCGAGGGGGAUAGGGGCGUGCGGAACUGUGGGUGGAGCGGUGAAAUGCGUUGAUAUCCGCAGGAACUCCGGUGGCGAAGGCGGCACGCUGGAUCCUCUCUGACGCUGAGGCGCGAAAGCCAGGGGAGCGAACGGG